This 253-nucleotide ribosomal RNA is filed under the name uncultured bacterium. RNAcentral's name for it is "partial 16S ribosomal RNA". It matches the Rfam family "Bacterial small subunit ribosomal RNA", at positions 524 to 776 of the family's 1533-position model. The record is from RNAcentral.
UACGUAGGGGGCAAGCGUUAUCCGGAUUUACUGGGUGUAAAGGGAGCGUAGACGGCUUUGCAAGCCAGAUGUGAAAGCCCGGGGCUCAACCUCGGGACUGCAUUUGGAACUGUAUGGCUGGAGUGUCGGAGGGGCAGGCGGAAUUCCUAGUGUAGCGGUGAAAUGCGUAGAUAUUAGGAGGAACACCGGUGGCGAAGGCGGCCUGCUGGACGAUGACUGACGUUGAGGCUCGAAAGCGUGGGGAGCAAACAGG